GUACUCUCUUUGAUAGCAUAUAUACCAAAAUUGGAACAAAACAGACAAUUUGCAUGACCUCUGGGCAAGGAUGACAUGCAGAUUCAUGAAGCAGUCCAUAUUUUU
RNAcentral lists this small nuclear RNA (105 nucleotides) under Colobus angolensis palliatus. Lineage: Eukaryota; Metazoa; Chordata; Mammalia; Primates; Cercopithecidae. The record is from RNAcentral.